Molecule: ribosomal RNA, 478 nt
Filed under: uncultured bacterium
Lineage: Bacteria
Description: partial 16S ribosomal RNA
Rfam family: Bacterial small subunit ribosomal RNA
Source: RNAcentral
GAUUAACGCUGGCGGCGUGCAUAACACAUGCAAGUCGAACGAUGAAACUCAUUAGAUUUCUUCGGAAUGAAAAUGAAUGGAUUAGUGGCGAACGGGUGAGUAACGCGUGAGUAACCUGCCUUACACAAGGGGAUAGCCUCUGGAAACGGAGAAUAAUACCCUAUGAAACCAGACAAUCGCAUGAUAAUCUGGUCAAAAUGUUUAGUGGUGUAAGAUGGACUUGCGUCUGAUUAGCUAGUUGGUGAGAUAAAAGCUCACCAAGGCAACGAUCAGUAGCCGGCUUGAGAGAGUGUACGGCCACAUUGGGACUGAGACACGGCCCAGACUCCUACGGGAGGCAGCAGGGGGGAAUUUUGCACAAUGGGGGAAACCCUGAUGCAGCGACGCCGCGUGAUUUAGAAGGCCUUCGGGUUGUAAAAAUCUUUUGUAUAGGAAGAAAAUGACAGUACUAUACGAAUAAGGUCCGGCUAAUUACGUG